This 1109-nucleotide unclassified non-coding RNA is filed under the name Penaeus chinensis. Its description in RNAcentral is "protein LTO1 homolog, transcript variant X3". Lineage: Eukaryota; Metazoa; Arthropoda; Malacostraca; Decapoda; Penaeidae. The record is from RNAcentral.
AAUGUAAACAAACAUUCAACGCCAGAGAAUCUUUACGUCAGGAUUGUUUUGUAUUUUAUUCCAUGUUCAUCCGAUAUUUCAUUGCUUAUAUGGUCUGAUUAGAGAUAAACAAGGGUUAUUAUUAAUUAUACAAGGAUUAUUAAAGGAAAUCGCACACAAUGAGCAGUGACGACCUUUUUGAUGCUGUUGAUGCCCUUGAGCAACAGCAGUAUCAUGCUGGGGAGGAAGAAGGUAUAGAAGAAGGUCGUAAGAAGCACAUAGCGACAGGCGCACUACUAGGAUGGCAGCAGGCAUGUCACAUCCAGCAGGAACUCUGCCGUAUUGAAGGACUUUUUGAAUCCCUUCUACUGAACUGCCAAUCAGACAUCAACCCCAAACUACAGAACCAAAUGGAAAAGCUCGUUGCGACCAUCAGGGAGAGUCCGAACUGGGACCCAGCAGAAGAGGACACCCUAGAGGCCAAGCUCUCUGCCAUCCACACCAAGAGUAGAUACAUCCUGCAGCGACUGAAAAUACCAGCCAAAGUUAUUGAUAGAAGUGUUGAUGGGGAUUUCUAAAGAGACAUAUUUCUGAGGGAUUGAAAGGCAUCAGAAACAGAGUUUGCUCAGUAGAGAAUAUUGCAGAAGGAUAAGCAGUAUUUUGGCGAGACAGGUGCCAGUCUCACUAAACGUUCGGCCCCAACAUAAAUAUGCGGUAUCCAGAGGACACAAAAACAACGCACUCCUCUGCCAUCAGAUGGAUUGGUCAGCUGCGCAAAUUGUCUUCCUUUUUGCCGAUGUCCAUGCCACAGACUGGUGGAAUAGCCUUAAUCAAGCUAUUACCUAAUUUCAACUUGAACAGCAGCUUUUCUCCUGCCAACAAUCUCCUCGCAUCCCACAUCCUCCUCGUCCUCCUCCCUUAUACCAGCCAUUUUUCACAUAGACUGCCUGAUCCUUCGACCUGAUCUGACUUCCCUUCACUUCACCAUUCGCCUGUCCUCACCUGCUCCAUGUUCACCUUGUUGCCUCUCCUUUCUCUCUUUUGUACUCCUCCUCUCCCUCUCAAUUUGGACCGGAAGAUGAAAUUCAGGAGGAUUUUGUAACUCUUUUACAGUAAAUCUAGUUUAUGCA